Molecule: long non-coding RNA, 208 nt
Filed under: Elaeis guineensis (African oil palm)
Lineage: Eukaryota; Viridiplantae; Streptophyta; Magnoliopsida; Arecales; Arecaceae
Description: long non-coding RNA (EGUI_LNC065160)
Source: RNAcentral
UUUCUUAAGGGCAUAAAAGAAAGAGAGAAAGGUUCUCUCUUUUGCGUGAGAAAUUGAGAAAAAAGGGGUUUUUCUCUUGAUCUCUAUUGUAGAGAUCAAAUGCAUGGAUUCAAAAAGAAAAGGAGAGAGUCUUCUUAUUCUUCAUCUCUAAUAUAUUCUUCUUAGAUCAGCCAAAGAAUGGUAUCCUUGAGAGCUAGCACUCCUGGGG